Camellia sinensis is the source of this 1666-nucleotide non-coding RNA. Lineage: Eukaryota; Viridiplantae; Streptophyta; Magnoliopsida; Ericales; Theaceae. The record is from RefSeq and is a predicted model, not a curated record.
GAGGGAUUUGGAUCAUCUGUAUUCUGUCCAUAUUUCAACUCCAUUCUCAGAGAGAGAGAGAGAGAGAGAGAGAGAGAUGGAUAGGAGAGAAGUGAAGGACGAAGAAGAAGAGCAUGAGAUUGUGAUAGUCGGCGGUGGGAUUUGCGGUCUUGCCACCGCCCUUGCUCUACACAGGAAGGGUGUGAGAAGUGUGGUUUUGGAAAAAUCAGAGACUUUGAGGGCAACUGGUGCAGCUAUUGCGAUCUUGGAUAAUGGUUGGCUCGCUCUUCAUCAGCUUGGCCUCGCUUCUCUUCUCAGACAAUCUUCUCUUCCUCUUCAGCGGUAUAUAUAUAUAUAUAUAUAUUCACACACUAGAUGUUUGAAUUUUCCAUGUGUGUUUGAAAUUCAUAGUUGUAAGGAUUGGGCUUCCUCCCUGUCCAAAUCUCGACCGGAGGCUGCUAUCUACGGGUUUGAUUUUGAUUUUAAUGAUUUGAACCCAUCAUCUUAUUAGAUUUAGAUUUUGCGUGUAUGUAGAUUAGGUCCAUAUGAUAUUCGUAGGCAAUUAAUUUUAUCGAAUUGGUCUCUAAAAAAAUUAACGGUGAAUGUGUUUUAAAAAUAAAUUAUCUAUUUUUGUGAUAAAAUAAACAAUUUAUCUAAUUUUUUUUUUUAUAUAACAAAAUGAACAGUUUAGAUUAUUGUAACGGACCAUGAUAGCCCUGUGAGCCCUUACAAUAACUGGCCAUGAUAGCCCUGUGAGCCCUUACAAUAUCCUUUUGGACUGGAGAAAAAUCGAUCCCAAUAAUAUAUAUACAUACCCCAGUAAUGAUGUUUGUAGUUUUUAUUUAUGAAUUAUUGUGUUGUAUUUGUUAUAAUUUGGUUACAACCGAAAAUGUUUUUUAUUAUACCUUUAUAUGGUAUUUGGUUAUCACUCAUUAAAUUUUUGAUAAUAACUUCCUUACGAAAAUGAAUCACUCAUAGAAUAGAUAUACAAAUUUACAUCUUUUUUUCGCCCUACCACGUACUGAUUGAUAAGUCAAUGAUUUACUUUGUGUUUUUAUAUUCCGCAUAUAAGGGUCCCAGAAGUGUUAUUCAUUAGAGAAAUGCUAUUCCUAUUUCAAUUUUUUAUAAAUGCUCUAAAAGAAAGAAAAGAGUGAUGGAGGACAUGAACAAAAUAGAGGACCAAAAAAUAAAAUUAUAUGAUUAUUAUUUAUUAUGACUUGGAUAACUCCAACAUGGAGCCUUAUGCAAAAGCUUAUUAUCUUAUCAAUGAAGUAAAAGCGAGAUUUAUGUUAAAAUAAUAUCACAGUCAACAACCUCCAAUUUUGAUGGGAACUUUUUCUGAUUUUCCAUGAUUAUUUUUUUUGUUUUGUUUUAUGCAAUUUUUAUUUAUUUUGUAACUUUGACUUAAAUUAGUAGUUAGUGAAUGGUGGUUGAUAAGUAGUGAAAAACGAGUUACAAAUACAAUAACAAUACUAUACUGCUUGAGCACCUUUGCUAUUUUAGCAUAAUAAAUAUUAAUGAAUGGAGCAACUCAUAACAAGUCUGUUUAUGUGCACUUUUACUGUGAUAAAAUAACUCCUAAAAAGAAAAUUUUCUACACCUUUGGAAAUGCUCUUAGGUAUGAAGCUUAAAGCAACACAUUGGGUAUGGAGAUCCAAGUUUUGUAUUGGGGAGCACCAAAAUGAUG